UACGGAGGGUGCAAGCGUUGUUCGGAAUUACUGGGCGUAAAGCGCGUGUAGGCGGCUUAUUAUGUCAGGUGUGAAAGCCCUCGGCCUAACCGAGGAAGUGCGCCUGAAACUGACAAGCUUGAGUACGAGAGAGGAGGACGGAAUUCCCAGUGUAGAGGUGAAAUUCGUAGAUAUUGGGAGGAACACCGGUGGCGAAAGCGGUUCUCUGGAUCGAUACUGACGCUAAGACGCGAAAGCGUGGGGAUCAAACAGG
This 253-nucleotide ribosomal RNA is filed under the name uncultured bacterium. Its description in RNAcentral is "partial 16S ribosomal RNA". It matches the Rfam family "Bacterial small subunit ribosomal RNA", at positions 524 to 776 of the family's 1533-position model. The record is from RNAcentral.